RNAcentral lists this long non-coding RNA (2024 nucleotides) under Eucalyptus grandis. Its description in RNAcentral is "long non-coding RNA (EGRA_LNC005658)". Lineage: Eukaryota; Viridiplantae; Streptophyta; Magnoliopsida; Myrtales; Myrtaceae. The record is from RNAcentral.
AGCACCUUUGUUCAGUUGCUGCCGUCGUCGCUAGUGCCGCCGGAGAGCCGCCGGAGCCACCGCCAGCAACCGUUCGAGCAGCCACCAUCCUUCCUCCGCCGUUCCUCCGCCCGAAUCGCCGCCGGACAGCUCUCCUCCGCCCAUGAUCAGUGGCUGGAAAAAUGGGUAUGGCAGCCCAUGUUUGGCCCGUUUUGGCCGCCUUCCCGAGCCCGGAUGCUCGGCCCGCUUUGAGGAAAGUCGAUCCUCGCGUUGUCCCCGUCGUUUUGGUCCGCUCGGCUCGCUAAUCCGGUGAGUUUAACUCACUAAAUCUUGAUUAGAGUGUUAAUGAUGCCCUAGGUGUGCUUAGUUUAAAUUAAGUAAUUUUAGGUGUGUGGAUUAGUGCAUUUAAUUAUAAAUUGGAUUAAGAUGUUGGUUUAUGUUAAAGUGUGUUUAAAUUAAAGGUUAAAAGAAGUUAUUUAAAGUUAAGCCUUGAUGUGACACAAAAUGAUUUUAGUUUUGAAUUAUUUAAGUGCUUCGAAAUUCUGGAAAAUAUUAUAUUAUAUUAUAAUCCGAAAUUAUUAAAAUAUUAUUAUUUAUAAAAAGAAAAUCAGAAAAAUUAUUUUUGAUCCCGGUUGCUCAGAAUUUUGUGCCGGUCGCUACGGUACAUUCGGAUUUUGAAAUUGAUGAUUGGAUAUUAUGAAUUGAGUGUGGAUUUCGAAAACUAUGGAUAUUAUUAUUUAAUUAAUUUUCGGAAUAAAUUUAAUUAUCUAUUAAAUUCCGAAAAUUUUCAUUGGGACCUUAUUUGCUCAAAAUUUCGUGUCGAUCGCUGCUGUGCAUUUAGAAUUUGAUAUUUAUGAUUGGUUGUGGCGAAUUGAAUGUGAUUUCGAUUUAUGAGGAUUCUUUAUAAAAUCCUAAAUGUGGAAAUUGAGGGGCGGUUGGUCGUGAAAUACCACCUAUUAGAGGUCGUGCCCGAUGAGGCCGUGAAAUACCACCUAUUAGAGGUCGUGCCCGAUGAGGCCGUGAAAUACCACCUAUUAAAGGUCGUGCCCGAUGAGGCCGUGAUAUACCACCUAUUAGAGGUCGUGCCCGAUGAGGCCGUGAUAUACCACUUAUUAGAGGUCGUGCCCGAUGAGGCCAUGAAAUACCACCUAUUAGAGGUCGUGCCCGAUGAAGCCGUGAAAUACCACCUAUUAGAGGUCGUGCCCGAUGAGGCCGUGAAAUACCACCUAUUAGAGGUCGUGCCCGAUGAGGCCGUGAUAUACCACCUAUUAGAGGUCGUGCCCGAUGAGGCCGUGAAAUACCACCUAUUAGAGGUCGUGCCCGAUGAGGCCGUGAAAUACCACCUAUUAGAGGUCGUGCCCGAUGAGGCCGUGAAAUACCACCUAUUAGAGGUCGUGCCCGAUGAAGCCGUGAAAUACCACUUAUUAGAGGUCGUGCCCGAUGAGGCCGUGAAAUACCACCUAUUAGAGGUCGUGCCUGAUGAGGCCGUGAAUUACCACCUGAUUACAGGUCGUGCCGAGUGGGGCCAUGAUUGCCACUGGUUACUAAAUCUUCCUAUCAGGUCGAGAUGGGUAGUGGUAAUUGAAUUGCUAGAGUGACAUGUAAUUGGCCGAGUUGAUUGAUCGCUGAGACGAUCCAAGUGGUUGAAUUGUUUGAUAAUGUGAUUGAGCCAUGGUUGUUUGGUUAUCAUAAUUGUACGUGGUUGAAUUAUAUAAAUUGUGCUAACCUGCAGAUGAAGGCUGAGGUGAGGUAAGUCUUCUGUGUGAUGUGGCUAGGCCACCCGGGGCGUAUAUUCUUUCUAAUAGGGGUUUAGGGGGUUGAACUUGCUGAAACAUCGUCUCAUCCUGGUUGUGGGAUUAAAAUUUCAGGUCCCCGGUGGACGGAGUGGCCAGAUAGCUUUGGUUGGCCUUGAGGAGUUGCAGAUGUGAAGUCGUAAGAUUGAAGAACGUGUCCGACUUGUAGGUCGUAGGACAAUUCAUUUUUAAGAGUCGGUCUUUUGUAGACUUUUGGCCGUAGACCUCUGUUUGUAACUCUGUUGAAUUAUG